Molecule: ribosomal RNA, 467 nt
Filed under: uncultured bacterium
Lineage: Bacteria
Description: partial 16S ribosomal RNA
Rfam family: Bacterial small subunit ribosomal RNA
Source: RNAcentral
ACGAACGCUGGCGGCGUGCUUCACACAUGCAAGUCGAACGGAAAGGCCUUGCUUUUGUGGGGUGCUCGAGUGGCGAACGGGUGAGUAACACGUGAGUAACCUGCCCUUGACUUUGGGAUAACUUCAGGAAACUGGGGCUAAUACCGGAUAGGAGCUCCUGCUGCAUGGUGGGGGUUGGAAAGUUUCGGCGGUUGGGGAUGGACUCGCGGCUUAUCAGCUUGUUGGUGGGGUAGUGGCUUACCAAGGCUUUGACGGGUAGCCGGCCUGAGAGGGUGACCGGCCACAUUGGGACUGAGAUACGGCCCAGACUCCUACGGGAGGCAGCAGUGGGGAAUAUUGCACAAUGGGCGGAAGCCUGAUGCAGCAACGCCGCGUGCGGGAUGACGGCCUUCGGGUUGUAAACCGCUUUCGCCUGUGACGAAGCGUGAGUGACGGUAAUGGGUAAAGAAGCACCGGCUAACUACGUG